This 304-nucleotide long non-coding RNA is filed under the name Malus domestica (apple). Its description in RNAcentral is "long non-coding RNA (MDOM_LNC013269)". The record is from RNAcentral. Lineage: Eukaryota; Viridiplantae; Streptophyta; Magnoliopsida; Rosales; Rosaceae.
UCUCAAGUCAUUUGGUGUUGGACACUAAGACAAACACAUAGGUGCUCGAAAGAGUAAUCGAGUACACUGAAUCACGAUCAAAAGAGAGUUCGAACAUACAUGUCAUGUAAGAACUCGAUAGUUGCAAUAUGCAAAGCAGUCCUUUGACCUGAGGCAUCAUAGAUCUCUAAUGGUUAGGUCCUUGACCUUUGAUCAUGUCAAAGGCAUUCCAUUGGAGUGUCCACGGCAUUGUUAGGGUCAAGCUAUCUAGUCAUGUAGGCAUAUGAAUGCACAACAAGGGAUCUCUAACCUUCCAUGGUGGAAG